RNAcentral lists this transfer RNA (72 nucleotides) under Spirosoma telluris. It matches the Rfam family "tRNA". Rfam says of the family: Transfer RNA (tRNA) molecules are approximately 80 nucleotides in length. Lineage: Bacteria; Pseudomonadati; Bacteroidota; Cytophagia; Cytophagales; Cytophagaceae. The record is from Rfam by way of RNAcentral.
AGGGUGGUAUAUCAGCGGUAGAUUACACGCUUUGGGCGCGUGAGGUCGUCGGUUCAAAUCCGGCUCACCCUA